This 529-nucleotide long non-coding RNA is filed under the name Cricetulus griseus (Chinese hamster). RNAcentral describes it as "lncRNA (ENSCGRG00015033120.1)". Lineage: Eukaryota; Metazoa; Chordata; Mammalia; Rodentia; Cricetidae. The record is from RNAcentral.
GUGAGUACUAGGGAUCAUGUUUCCACAGAGCAACAGUGAGAGCAGGAGAUAACCAAGUCAACACCAUUGCCCAGAAGAGAGAUGGGCUCGGGAGUGGCCACCCACCUUUCUAACCAGAAGAUGAUCUCUCGGCUGUUUCUUUAAAAUGAGAAUAACCUGGAAGGUUCUGGCUCUUCCAUCAGGCUGUAUUGGACCACAUUCACCGAGAUUCAUCUCCACAGGAGCCCUCAUCCAGUGGCUGAUGGAAGCAGAGACAGACAUCCACAGAUAUACACUGAGCUGAAAUCUGGAAUUUACUUGAAGAGAGGGAGGAAUGAAGAGCGAAGGGGUUUGUACCAGUUUGGAGAAACCCACAGGAACAGUUGGCCUGAACAAGGGAGAGCACAUCGACUCCAGAUGCUGUCUGGGAGUCCAGUACAAGACUGAUCCAGACCCCUGAACAUGGAUGUCAAUAAUGAGGACUCUGGUCUCCCGGGAGCCUCUGGUGGUGGAUUAGUGUUUUUCCGUGGUGCAAGAAGGGACUUUGAGA